This 932-nucleotide long non-coding RNA is filed under the name Olea europaea subsp. europaea. The record is from RNAcentral. Lineage: Eukaryota; Viridiplantae; Streptophyta; Magnoliopsida; Lamiales; Oleaceae.
GUGAUUUCUUAAAACAAAAAGGGAUUUUGGCUCAACGACCAUGCCCUUAUACUCCUCAACAAAAAGGGGUGGCAGAACGGAAAAACUGUCAUCUAUUGGAUGUUGCUCGUACAUUAUUACUUGAUUCCUAUGCUCCUUCAAAAUUCUGGGUUGAAGCAGUGUCCAUUGUAGUUUAUUUAAUCAAUAGAUUGCCUUCCCAAGUUUUACACUUUGAAUCUUCGUAUUAUUGCCUUCAUAAUCAACAUCCUACUUAUCAUGACUUGCAUACUUUUGGAUGCAUUUGUUUUGUUCAUUUACAUUCUCAUGAACGACACAAACUUUCUGCACAAUCUGUUAAGUGCGCCUUUAUGGGAUAUAGUGUUUCGCACAAAGGUUAUGUUUGCUAUGAUCCAUGUUCUAACAGAUUUUGUAUUUCUCGUAAUGUUGUUUUCUUUGAGCAACAAUCUUUCUUUCCUACUCAUGUUCAACAUUUGCCUGAAAUUAGUAUUCUUCCAUGUUUUGAUGACUUGACUUCUCAUCUUGAAAGAUUCAAGCCUGGACUCAUAUAUGAGAGACGUCGACCAAAUAGGCCUCUUCCUAAAGUUGACCUCACAUCUGAUCUUGUCCAGCCACUCUCUUCUAAGCCUGAGUUGGUAUCAAAUACUGAUGUACCUCCUAAUCCGGGUCCUCAACGAUCUACCCUUAUUUCUCGACCGCCUGAUAGAUAUGGUUCUUUUCAUUCAUUUGCCACUACAUUGACAUCUAUACCUAGUUAUUCAGAAGCAGCUAAACAUAAAUGUUGGCGGAAGACUAUGGAUGAAGAACUUUGGACGCUUCAGGAUAAUCAUACUUGGGAUAUUGUUCAUUGUCCACCUAAUGUCAAGGCUAUUGGUUGCAAGUGGGUCUAUUCUAUUAAGCUUGCUCUUAUGGAACUCUGGAUCGUUAUAAAGCUC